Molecule: ribosomal RNA, 461 nt
Filed under: uncultured bacterium
Lineage: Bacteria
Description: partial 16S ribosomal RNA
Rfam family: Bacterial small subunit ribosomal RNA
Source: RNAcentral
ACGAACGCUGGCGGCGUGCUUAACACAUGCAAGUCGAACGGAAAGGCCCUUCGGGGUACUCGAGUGGCGAACGGGUGAGUAACACGUGGGUGAUCUGCCCUGCACUUUGGGAUAAGCCUGGGAAACUGGGUCUAAUACCGAAUAUGAUCAUCGGCUUCAUGGUCGGUGGUGGAAAGCUUUUGCGGUGUGGGAUGGGCCCGCGGCCUAUCAGCUUGUUGGUGGGGUAAUGGCCUACCAAGGCGACGACGGGUAGCCGGCCUGAGAGGGUGACCGGCCACACUGGGACUGAGAUACGGCCCAGACUCCUACGGGAGGCAGCAGUGGGGAAUAUUGCACAAUGGGCGCAAGCCUGAUGCAGCGACGCCGCGUGAGGGAUGACGGCCUUCGGGUUGUAAAUCUCUUUCAGCACAGACGAAGCGCAAGUGACGGUAUGUGCAGAAGAAGGACCGGCCAACUACGUG